UACGGAGGGUGCAAGCGUUAUCCGGAUUCACUGGGUUUAAAGGGUGCGUAGGCGGGUUGGUAAGUCCGUGGUGAAAUCUCCAAGCUUAACUUGGAAACUGCCGUGGAUACUAUCAAUCUUGAAUGUCGUGGAGGUAAGCGGAAUAUGUCAUGUAGCGGUGAAAUGCUUAGAGAUGACAUAGAACACCAAUUGCGUAGGCAGCUUACUACACGAAUAUUGACGCUGAGGCACGAAAGCGUGGG
RNAcentral lists this ribosomal RNA (242 nucleotides) under uncultured bacterium. RNAcentral describes it as "partial 16S ribosomal RNA". It matches the Rfam family "Bacterial small subunit ribosomal RNA", at positions 524 to 765 of the family's 1533-position model. The record is from RNAcentral.